GUCUUCCAGAUUCCUUCCCCAUCAGAUCCAGAUCCUGGUCUGAGCGGCUGUAAAAGAAGGAAAAGUCUAUCUGAAAUAGACUUGGAUUCUUGGGUGACCUAGAAGUAUGUUACCAAUGAAC
RNAcentral lists this small nucleolar RNA (121 nucleotides) under Echinops telfairi (small Madagascar hedgehog). RNAcentral describes it as "Small nucleolar RNA SNORA61 (ENSETEG00000025842.1)". The record is from RNAcentral. Lineage: Eukaryota; Metazoa; Chordata; Mammalia; Afrosoricida; Tenrecidae.